CUGCAGCUUAUUAAGCCGACUGGUCUCGCUGGAGUGCGGUUCCAGUGUGCAAAGGCUGCAGACAUUGACUUCUUUGGUUGUGUAUGUCCUCAGCUGGGAGGUGCUGAGUGCUUUAAGGGACCACUGAGACAAAG
RNAcentral lists this small nucleolar RNA (134 nucleotides) under Anabas testudineus (climbing perch). Its description in RNAcentral is "Small nucleolar RNA SNORA70 (ENSATEG00000022987.2)". It matches the Rfam family "Small nucleolar RNA SNORA70". Rfam says of the family: snoRNA U70 seems to be exclusive to mammals and is a member of the H/ACA class of snoRNA which contain H (ANANNA) and ACA box motifs. The record is from Rfam by way of RNAcentral. Lineage: Eukaryota; Metazoa; Chordata; Actinopteri; Anabantiformes; Anabantidae.